This 253-nucleotide ribosomal RNA is filed under the name uncultured prokaryote. Its description in RNAcentral is "partial 16S ribosomal RNA". It matches the Rfam family "Bacterial small subunit ribosomal RNA", at positions 524 to 776 of the family's 1533-position model. The record is from RNAcentral.
UACGUAGGGGGCAAGCGUUGUCCGGAAUCAUUGGGCGUAAAGAGCGUGUAGGCGGCCUGGUAAGUCCGCUGUGAAAGUCCAGGGCUCAACCCUGGAAUGCCGGUGGAAACUGUCAGGCUCGAGUCCGGAAGAGGCGAGUGGAAUUCCUGGUGUAGCGGUGAAAUACGUAGAUAUCAAGAGGAACACCUGCGGCGAAGGCGGGUUGCUGGGCCGACGCUGACGCUGAGGCGCGAAAGCUAGGGGAGCGAACGGG